RNAcentral lists this ribosomal RNA (889 nucleotides) under uncultured euryarchaeote. RNAcentral's name for it is "bacterial SSU rRNA". It matches the Rfam family "Archaeal small subunit ribosomal RNA", at positions 453 to 1349 of the family's 1478-position model. Lineage: Archaea; Methanobacteriati; Methanobacteriota. The record is from RNAcentral.
UGGUGUCAGCCGCCGCGGUAAUACCAGCUCUCCGAGUGGUGGGGAUGAUUAUUGGGCCUAAAGCAUCCGUAGCCGGCUGAGCAAGUCCCGUGUUAAAUCCAGCGAUUCAAUCGCUGGCCUGCGGGGGAUACUGCUUGGCUUGGGGGCGAGAGAGGCCGUCGGUAUUCCCGGGGUAGGGGUGAAAUCCUAUAAUCCCGGGAGGACCACCAGUGGCGAAGGCUGUCGGCUAGAACGCGCUCGACGGUGAGGGAUGAAAGCUGGGGGAGCGAACCGGAUUAGAUACCCGGGUAGUCCCAGCUGUAAACGAUGCAGGCUAGGUGUUAGGUCGGCCACGUGCCGCUCUAGUGCCGCAGGGAAGCUGUUAAGCCUGCCGCCUGGGGAGUACGGCCGCAAGGCUGAAACUUAAAGGAAUUGGCGGGGGAGCACCACAAGGGGUGAAGCUUGCGGUUUAAUUGGAGUCAACGCCGGAAAUCUCACCGGGGGCGACAGCAGGAUGAAAGCCAGAUUAAAGGUCUUGCCAGACGAGCUGAGAGGAGGUGCAUGGCCGUCGCCAGUUCGUGCCGUGAGGUGUCCUGUUAAGUCAGGUAACGAUCGAGACCCGCAUCCCCCGUUGCUACUAGCCUUGUGCUGGGCACACUGGGGAGACCGCCAUCGAUAAGAUGGAGGAAGGAGCGGGCCACGGCAGGUCAGUAUGCCCCGAAUCUCCCGGGCCACACGCGAGCUGCAAUGGUAGGUACAAUGGGUUCCGACCCCGAAAGGGGAAGGCAAUCCCGAAAACCUGCCGUAGUUGGGAUCGAGGGCUGUAACUCGCCCUCGUGAACAUGGAAUCCCUAGUAAUCGCGUGUCAUCAUCGCGCGGUGAAUACGUCCCUGCUCCUUGCACACACCGC